Molecule: ribosomal RNA, 253 nt
Filed under: uncultured bacterium
Lineage: Bacteria
Description: partial 16S ribosomal RNA
Rfam family: Bacterial small subunit ribosomal RNA
Source: RNAcentral
UACGUAGGGUGCAAGCGUUGUCCGGAAUUAUUGGGCGUAAAGAGCUCGUAGGCGGUUUGUCGCGUCGAAUGUGAAAACCCGGGGCUCAACCCCGGGCCUGCAUUCGAUACGGGCAGACUAGAGUUCGGUAGGGGAGUCUGGAAUUCCUGGUGUAGCGGUGAAAUGCGCAGAUAUCAGGAGGAACACCGGUGGCGAAGGCGGCAUCCUGGACCGAGAUUGACGCUGAGGCGCGAAAGCCAGGGGAGCAAACGGG